CUCUGUGACUCCUACGGGAGGCAGCAGUGGGAAUAUUGCACAAUGGGGGAAACCCUGAUGCAGCCAUGCCGCGUGUGUGAAGAAGGCCUUCGGGUUGUAAAGCACUUUCAGUAGGGAGGAAGGUAGUGUAGUUAACACCUGCAUUAUUUGACGUUACCUACAGAAGAAGCACCGGCUAACUCCGUGCCAGCAGCCGCGGUAAUACGGAGGGUGCGAGCGUUAAUCGGAAUUACUGGGCGUAAAGCGCAUGCAGGCGGCCUGUUAAGUCAGAUGUGAAAGCCCGGGGCUUAACCUCGGAAUUGCAUUUGAAACUGGCAGGCUAGAGUCUUGUAGAGGGGGUAGAAUUUCAGGUGUAGCGGUGAAAUGCGUAGAGAUCUGAAGGAAUACCAGUGGCGAAGGCGGCCCCCUGGACAAAGACUGACGCUCAGAUGCGAAAGCGUGGGGAGCAAACAGGAUUAGAUACCCUGGUAG
This 471-nucleotide ribosomal RNA is filed under the name uncultured bacterium. Its description in RNAcentral is "bacterial SSU rRNA". It matches the Rfam family "Bacterial small subunit ribosomal RNA", at positions 328 to 793 of the family's 1533-position model. The record is from RNAcentral.